GAGCGCAGGCGGAAGAAUAAGUCUGAUGUGAAAGCCCUCGGCUUAACCGAGGAACUGCAUCGGAAACUGUUUUUCUUGAGUGCAGAAGAGGAGAGUGGAACUCCAUGUGUAGCGGUGGAAUGCGUAGAUAUAUGGAAGAACACCAGUGGCGAAGGCGGCUCUCUGGUCUGCAACUGACGCUGAGGCUCGAAAGCAUGGGUAGCGAACAGGAUUAGAUACCCUGGUAGUCCAUGCCGUAAACGAUGAGUGCUAAGUGUUGGGAGGUUUCCGCCUCUCAGUGCUGCAGCUAACGCAUUAAGCACUCCGCCUGGGGAGUACGACCGCAAGGUUGAAACUCAAAGGAAUUGACGGGGGCCCGCACAAGCGGUGGAGCAUGUGGUUUAAUUCGAAGCAACGCGAAGAACCUUACCAGGUCUUGACAUCUAGUGCAAUCCGUAGAGAUACGGAGUUCCCUUCGGGGACACUAAGACAGGUGGUGCAUGGCUGU
This 487-nucleotide ribosomal RNA is filed under the name Lactobacillus acidophilus. Its description in RNAcentral is "bacterial SSU rRNA". It matches the Rfam family "Bacterial small subunit ribosomal RNA", at positions 567 to 1052 of the family's 1533-position model. The record is from RNAcentral. Lineage: Bacteria; Bacillati; Bacillota; Bacilli; Lactobacillales; Lactobacillaceae.